Molecule: ribosomal RNA, 555 nt
Filed under: Triticum aestivum (bread wheat)
Lineage: Eukaryota; Viridiplantae; Streptophyta; Magnoliopsida; Poales; Poaceae
Description: partial small subunit ribosomal RNA
Source: RNAcentral
AUGGCCGAAUGCUUCAAUAGGGUGCUCAAAGGUGCACGUGGAUUACCCGUGACGGCAAUAGUUCAAUACACAUUUGACAAGAUGAAUGCGUACUUUCUAAAGUACUCAAUGGAAACUGAUGCACAGAUAGCGGGUGAGAACCCGCGCAAGUACAAGUACAAGUUCCCACCCAAGGUUGAUGAAUGGUUAGAAUUUCAAUCACGAAAGGCGGACUCAGAAGAAGCUAUAUUAUAUGACAACGAAGAGUGGAAGUAUGAAGUGAAAGAGCCAGGAGGAACCACAAACGAUGGCCAGCAACAUGGAGGUCGGGCUUUCAAGGUGUCGUUAACACAAUGUGAUUGCUCUUGCGGGAGGCCAUUGUUGCUUCAUCUCCCAUGCUCACAUUUGUAUAGCACCGGUCGCGUUAGAAAUGUGGACAUCAAUCACCCACGCACCAUGAGGGAGUUGGAGUUCUCAAUCAUGACGGUCAAGAAAACAUGGGCUCCCCGCUUUCACCCAUACUUUGACCAAUCACAAUGGCCAAAGUACCAUGGAGUUCAACUAUGGCCGGAUCCG